GGCUCGGUAGCGGUUGGUCCGCGCCUGCAUGCACUUGGUAACCCGGCAGUUGCUUGCAUAUGCAGGAGUUUCCCGUUCGACUCGGGACUGGGCCA
This is a non-coding RNA of Mycena filopes, 95 nucleotides long. The record is from the annotation of a GenBank genome assembly. NCBI's taxonomy places the organism in Eukaryota, Fungi, Basidiomycota, Agaricomycetes, Agaricales, Mycenaceae.